RNAcentral lists this long non-coding RNA (359 nucleotides) under Setaria viridis. RNAcentral describes it as "long non-coding RNA (SVIR_LNC004413)". The record is from RNAcentral. Lineage: Eukaryota; Viridiplantae; Streptophyta; Magnoliopsida; Poales; Poaceae.
UGGAGGUAGUGGUAUCUCGUGAAGAGGCUGGGAAGGUGCGAAGCUCACGGUUUGCGAGGCUUGCUGAGUUUGAGGGUGGAAUUGUGGUGAAUGUUGCCACAUCAUGGCGGAUUGAAAAUUUGCAAGGUUGGGGUUUAGGAAGUAUGGUUGUUGUGGCCAACAGGUAGUAUGGUGGAUGGUUUUGGGUGACGCAGCUACUUUUUUCUCUUCGGCUAUUCUCUAAGAGGUCUUUUUGGUUUAUGUGCAAAAAUCAAUUGCGUGGUCAAGCUGCUUGCCAUGGAAGGUACAGUAGAACAUUCGAGGCUGGUUAUUCUGGUUAACCGCCUUGGAGGCCCUCUGCCUCUGCCUCUUCCUCUUCC